GAUGAACGCUAGCGGCAGGCUUAACACAUGCAAGUCGAGGGGCAGCGCGGGAUAGCAAUAUCCUGGCGGCGACCGGCGGAAGGGUGCGUAACGCGUGAGCGACAUGCCCGUUGCCCGGGGACAACCGGUGGAAACGCCGACUAAUCCCCGAUGGGAUACGAUGCUUCAUGGCAUUGUAUUGAAAGUUACGGCGGCGACGGAUUGGCUCGCGUCCGAUUAGCUGGUUGGCGGGGUAACGGCCCACCAAGGCUGCGAUCGGUAGGGGUUCUGAGAGGAAGGCCCCCCACAAUUGGACUGAGACACGGCCCAUACUCCUACGGGAGGCAGCAGUGAGGAAUAUUGGACAAUGGGCGGAAGCCUGAACCAGCCAUGCCGCGUGCGGGAAGGAGGCCCUAUGGGCUGUGAACCGCUUUUGCCUGGGGGCAAUAAGGGCGUCGCGCACGUCCGAUGAGAGUACCAGGCGAAUAAGCAUCGGCUAACUCCGUG
This 486-nucleotide ribosomal RNA is filed under the name uncultured bacterium. RNAcentral's name for it is "partial 16S ribosomal RNA". It matches the Rfam family "Bacterial small subunit ribosomal RNA", at positions 28 to 507 of the family's 1533-position model. The record is from RNAcentral.